AGUGAACGCUGGCGGUAGGCCUAACACAUGCAAGUCGAACGGCAGCACAGUAAGAGCUUGCUCUUACGGGUGGCGAGUGGCGGACGGGUGAGGAAUACAUCGGAAUCUACUUUUUCGUGGGGGAUAACGUAGGGAAACUUACGCUAAUACCGCAUACGACCUACGGGUGAAAGCAGGGGAUCUUCGGACCUUGCGCGAUUGAAUGAGCCGAUGUCGGAUUAGCUAGUUGGCGGGGUAAAGGCCCACCAAGGCGACGAUCCGUAGCUGGUCUGAGAGGAUGAUCGGCCACACUGGAACUGAGACACGGUCCAGACUCCUACGGGAGGCAGCAGUGGGGAAUAUUGGACAAUGGGCGCAAGCCUGAUCCAGCCAUACCGCGUGGGUGAAGAAGGCCUUCGGGUUGUAAGGCCCUUUUGUUGGGAAAGAAAAGCAGCAGGUUAAUACCCCGCUGUUCUGACGGUACCCAAAGAAUAAGCACCGGCUAACUUCGUG
RNAcentral lists this ribosomal RNA (492 nucleotides) under uncultured bacterium. Its description in RNAcentral is "partial 16S ribosomal RNA". It matches the Rfam family "Bacterial small subunit ribosomal RNA", at positions 29 to 507 of the family's 1533-position model. The record is from RNAcentral.